UACGUAGGUGGCGAGCGUUGUCCGGAAUUACUGGGUGUAAAGGGAGCGUAGGCGGGAGUGCAAGUUGAAUGUAUAAACUAUCGGCUCAACUGAUAGAAGCGUUCAAAACUGCACUUCUUGAGUGAAGUAGAGGCAGGCGGAAUUCCUAGUGUAGCGGUGAAAUGCGUAGAUAUUAGGAGGAACACCAGUGGCGAAGGCGGCCUGCUGGGCUUUAACUGACGCUGAGGCUCGAAAGCGUGGGUAGCAAACAGG
This 252-nucleotide ribosomal RNA is filed under the name uncultured bacterium. RNAcentral describes it as "partial 16S ribosomal RNA". It matches the Rfam family "Bacterial small subunit ribosomal RNA", at positions 524 to 776 of the family's 1533-position model. The record is from RNAcentral.